This is a non-coding RNA of Hypomontagnella submonticulosa, 85 nucleotides long. Lineage: Eukaryota; Fungi; Ascomycota; Sordariomycetes; Xylariales; Hypoxylaceae. The record is from the annotation of a GenBank genome assembly.
GGUUCCGUAGUAUAGUGGUUAGUACGGCUCGUUGUGGUUGCAACGAUAAACCGAGCAGACGCGUGUUCGAUUCACGCCGGAGCCA